RNAcentral lists this transfer RNA (75 nucleotides) under Alkaliphilus sp. B6464. RNAcentral's name for it is "tRNA-Thr". It matches the Rfam family "tRNA". Rfam says of the family: Transfer RNA (tRNA) molecules are approximately 80 nucleotides in length. Their secondary structure includes four short double-helical elements and three loops (D, anti-codon, and T loops). Further hydrogen bonds mediate the characteristic L-shaped molecular structure. tRNAs have two regions of fundamental functional importance: the anti-codon, which is responsible for specific mRNA codon recognition, and the 3' end, to which the tRNAs corresponding amino acid is attached (by aminoacyl-tRNA synthetases). tRNAs cope with the degeneracy of the genetic code in two manners: having more than one tRNA (with a specific anti-codon) for a particular amino acid; and 'wobble' base-pairing, i.e. permitting non-standard base-pairing at the 3rd anti-codon position. RNAcentral also lists the same sequence under 1 other name. The record is from RNAcentral. Lineage: Bacteria; Bacillati; Bacillota; Clostridia; Peptostreptococcales; Natronincolaceae.
GCUGAUGUGGCUCAGGGGUAGAGCACUUCCUUGGUAAGGAAGAGGUCGGCGGUUCGAUUCCGCUCAUCAGCUCCA